This 14378-nucleotide long non-coding RNA is filed under the name Fragaria vesca (wild strawberry). Its description in RNAcentral is "long non-coding RNA (FVES_LNC003655)". Lineage: Eukaryota; Viridiplantae; Streptophyta; Magnoliopsida; Rosales; Rosaceae. The record is from RNAcentral.
UUUUUUUUUUUUUUUUUUGUAGAAUCUAAGUACUAGUGAAGUAGUUUGCAUUGAAUAAGCGUGCAGAUUUUGUUUCACUUAAAAUUUUGGAUAUUUGUUCGUGCUAGUCCAAAGUGAGUGUUUUCUUUAUUCAUUUUUUAUUUACAUUUUUGCAGAUUUUGUUCUGUUACCGGUACUCUAUCACCCAGUUAACAACUUGUACUUUUUCAGUUGUUGGAUUUAUCUAUAUAUGCAGAAGUCUCAUUUUUUUUUUUUCUACCAUUAAUUGUUAUCUUCCUUGCAGAUCAAUUCAUACUGCAACAGAUUGAGACCAUCAGUAAGAAUUUGUUUUUAAAUUGUGUAUUCUCACAAUACCAAACUAAGCCUAAGUUCGCUUGAUGAAUAGCUGGGGAUAGAAAACCUGAUUUAAAUGAUUCUUAUGAUUUUUUUGCUCUUAUGCAGUACUUACGAGUCACGACAUCUACGGUAAAGUUUAUUCUCGGAGCUCCAUUUGUGAUUGCACUUCUAAUCUACAAGUGGUGGAGAAGGCAUUUAUCGUCCAACAACAAUUUAGAACAAUUUCUACAUAGUGACAAUUUCAUGCCUAUAAGGUACACUUAUUCCAACCUUAAGAAAAUGUCUAAUGGUUUCAAGGAUAAGUUGGGGAACGGGGGUUAUGGGUCUGUAUUUAAAGGGAGAUUACGCAGUGGCCACUUGGGAGCCAUUAAGAUGCUAGACAAGUCUAAUGCUAAUGGGGAAGAUUUCAUGAGUGAAAUAGCUACUAUUGGAAGGAUUCACCAUGUUAAUGUGGUGCAGCUUGUUGGUUACUGUGUUGAGGGGUUCAAAGCGCGCUUUAGUAUACGAUUUCAUGCCUAAUGGGUCUCUUGAUAAAUACAUUUACUCGAAAGAAGGAUCAAUCACUUUGAAUUGCAAGCAAAUGUAUGAGAUUGCAGUCGGAGUCGCUCGUGGUAUUGAAUAUUUGCAUCGAGGUUGUGAAAUGCAAAUACUACAUUUUGAUAUCAAGCCUCAUAAUAUUCUUCUUGAUGAGAAUUUUAUCCCGAAGAUUUCUGACUUUGGGUUAGCGAAACUAUAUUCAGCGGAUAAUAGCAUAGUCUCUUCAAUGGCAGCAAGAGGCACAAUGGGAUAUAUUGCUCCUGAGUUGUUUUAUAAAAACAUUGGUGGUAUUUCAAAUAAAGCUGAUGUCUACAGUUUUGGAAUGCUGUUGAUGGAAAUGGCAAGUAGAAGAAAAAAUGUAAAUGCAUUGGCAGAGCAUUCAAGCCAAAUUUACUUCCCCUCAUGGGUGCAUGAUCAAUAUAAGGAAGAGAAGGACUUGGAGAUUGGCGAUGCCACAACAGAGGAUAAGAAAAUAAUGAAAAAGAUGAUUAUAACCGCAUUAUGGUGUAUUCAAAUGAAACCAAGUCAACGACCUUCGAUGAAGGAAGCCAUAGCGAUGCUUGAAGGAGAUGUUGAAUGCCUAACAUUGCCUAUGAAGCCAUCUCUAUGCCCUGAACCGGUGACUGUAGGCAAAUUGAUAAUUCCAACAAGUUCAGAUGUGGGGUUAACAUGUAGUCUAUCAGCUAGGUGAUGAUCAUCAGCUACAAUUAUUUUUCUCUUCCUAUUUUUAACAUUUUCAUUAAAUCAAGUUGGCUACCUACCGCCCGGUGUUAUUUGGUUUAGUGGCAUAGUCUUUCUUUAGUAAGUGAAAUGUUGUAAGUUCGACUCACAAAGUUGUAAUAACUGAUAAAAAAAAAGUGGCAACAUACCAUUAUGAUAUUUCCUAGAAAUAAUGCAGAUUUUGGAGCUAAAAAAUUAAGAAAAUGAAAUGCUAAUAAUAAUGUUGUUCGGCUUAACUAUUAUGCGGCAGCAAUGGUGGAAUGAAGAUAGCGGCGGUUUUAUUUUUGUUUUUGUUUUUCCCUGGCGUUCUUCUUUAGUACAAAAGACAAAGACAACAAUAUGAGAUUUUUGUUUUUGGUCAAGAUCAAUUUACCCUUCUUUUGCCUUUUGUGUUACCACCUACUUGUAAGAUGAAGUUCAUGCAACUCGAAUAGUACUAGUAGUGGCCUGGGGCUUAAUCUGACUAGGGACGUGACUGUCCUAGCUCCUUGCAUGUAAUUCAACUUUUAAGAGUUAUUGCGAGAUGAUAAAAAUGAACAUCCACCGGCCGGCCCCGGAGAGUUUAUGUUCAAGUCUAAUUACGUAGAAUAAUACACUAAUACAGUAGCAUCGAUCAAUCAAUUAGUGAGUGGCAUCUUAAAUUGGUCUAGUUUCUUUCACACAUAUUUAUCGAGAAACUAAUUUUGUGGCAGAUGUUAUGGCAAAGUUGGGUCAUCAACUUGAAACGUAAGCCCGAAACAUAUUCUUUCCUUUUACAGCUAAUCAGGUUUUCUAUUUUGACUCUCUAAAUUUUGGUUGUCGUAAGAUUUUGUAAUUUGAAAUUAUCUUUAUUUUGUAUCUUGUCAAGAAAAAUCAAUUAGUGAGUGACAUGCAUCCCCACUUUUAAUACUUUCGAUCAAGACUUGGAAAACCAAGUCUCUAGCAAACUUCCAACUAGUCUCUAGCUUAACUUCCCACUAGCUUCCAUGUGAAGACUUGGACAUGUACAGAGAAAUAAUAUCUUAGAUUUUCGCGUCAAUCAUAUUCAACUAUCGACGUACUCUCACUAAUUUGACGUCAAGAAAUGACAAAAUAAACUUCAAAGAAUGUAGAUAUACAAAAAUGAAAAAUAUAUGUAUUCUGUGUUUCAUGAAUCAUCCCUAACCAUACAUUCAGAAUCCAGACACUUGACUUGAGAUGGAGAGAUCGAUGUCAAUUAAGUCUUCAAUUACAGGGACCUGAUCGAGUUAGGUUGUAGAAAUGGACUUAGAACUCUUGGCAUGAAAUUAAAGACUUGCAUGGAGUUUUCAAUACGAUGGAGUAAUCUGCAAUGAUAAAUGAGACUCGUGGCAAGGGCCAAGGUCUGACCCAUCAAUAAGAAGUAGCUCGAAAAUGUUCCACAAUUUAAUUCCAAGGCCAAGGAUGUGGGUGGGAGGUUUAGACUUUGUGACAUUUUCUGAGUGGUGAUGAUAUACUUUCAGGAAUAUAUAAUGGAUAAAUUCCACAAAGCACUGCAAGUUUCCAUCAGGUCAUCGAUUGCGUAAAACCAUGUCCCUCUCAUCCCACAUUCCUUUAAGACUGGGAUACAAAUUUCCAUGUAUUUUCUAGACCCUCAAGAAACUUCAAAGAAUGUAACCAAUAAAAAAACCAUAGAAUAAGAAGUGGAAAAUUUUACAAAGUUGAUGCAUGAACAUUGUAAAAUUUUCUUAUUCUAUGUUUUAAAAAUGUUGAUGCAUCACCUGGCCUUUCCACUUCUUAUUUUAUGUCCUCAAAAAUUUUACAAUGUUCAUGCAUCAACUUUGUCCUAAAGUUGUAAAACGACUUAUCAAAGUGGUAAUAUUAAUCCUCAAAGUUAUAAUAUGAGUUCUUAAAGUUGUAAAGUUUUCUAGUUACAACAUUAGUCCUCAUGUGUGGUAAAAUACGUGUUUAAAGUGGUAUUUAAAUCCUAAAAGUGAUGAGUGAAAAAAACCACAAAAGAUGAUUUUCACAAGCUGAGGUUUGAAGAAAUAGGAUCUCCUAUUAGGUAUGACAUCUCCACAAUGGAUGUUUUUCGUAAGCUAGGGUUCGAAGCAAGGAUCUCCUUACCGCCCCAUUUGUAGUCUAGCAUAUGCUUCCACUAGACCAAUCCUAUAGGUGUUGAUUCACUUGAUUGUUUCUUAUUUGUUCAAUAAGAGUUGUCGUUCACCCUAAAAAAAUUUCUUUAUAUUUUUAAAAUCUCGAGAAGCAAAAGGAAAUUAUUUGCCAUGUUGAUUGAUUGUAACACUAAAUUUUUUUCGUAAGUGUAUAUCUAUGGAACAUGUAAUACUGUGGAAUCAUCAAUUUGAAUAGAGAAAAAUUCAGCAACAAUCCAAAAACCUUGUGUCAAGGCCAAUUUGAUACCUAGACUCUAAAAGUAUCAAUAUGAUACUCAAACACUAAUUUUGACGUCACAUAGAUAUAAUGAUAUAUACCUUCGUCCAAUUUCAGUGACAAUUUAUCAAUUUGCUAAUGUAAGAAGUACAUCGGUCUUAGAAGAAACAGGAUGCACCAUAUAUACGACCUUAGUCGUUCUUAUAAUUAAAACUCUUUUAUUUCAAAAAAAAAGAAAUUGAUUUUCGACCUCAAUAGUUGAAUAAUACCAUUUAAUGGAUUUAAAAACUCAAGUACACCCUUGAUUCAGAACUAUCCUCCCCGGAGUUAUAUCAAGAAAGAACAAGCCUACAGGAGUAGUCCAUGAGAAGAACAACUAGGGGCAAAACCGGGAACUGUGGUGAAACUGGAAGACUAGAUACUAAAAAGGAUGAAGGAGCGAGUCACCUACGCCCAAGGAAACAGACUUUGAAUUUCCUAGACUUGUGACUUGUGAGGAUCCACAAGUUAAUUAUGUCUUUAAUUGCAGGGACCUGAGUUAGGUUGGGGUUGAGGAAUUGGGCCUGCCCCUCAGUCCAUCACACAACUUUGGAUCGAAUGAAACCGAUUGAUCUUUAGUUUAAAUUAUAGAAGUUGCAUUGCUUUGUUGACAGGAAAUUCUUGCAUGAAGCAGUCAACUUAUAUUAAGAUUCCAUUUUGAUGAGUAUUUCGUGACCAAUGGAAAUAUAACACUGCCGUUGGUUUCUGGUUUUUGUUUCUUCACACAGUCCCACUCAGCUUUCCGAAGAAGAAGAAGAAGAAAAUAUUCUAAUUGAUAUGUUAUUAGAAGCUUGUAGAAUAGAUAUUGUAGGAGCUUAAGUACGUAUCUGGUCGAUCUGAAACAAUGUCAGUAAGAUAGUGUUUCAGUAUAGCUAAUUAAUCCAUACAUUUUCAAACUUCAGAUGCAUACAAACAAUAAUUAAUAAUGAUAUACAUGUGUACGUCCAGCUACUCUAAUUCAACAAUUGCUUCUAGCUCAAGGUUCAACCGUCUUGCAGCCGGGCGGGUGUUUGCAUUUGUUCUGGUAGUAACCGUAGCGGCAAAAGGAUUCGGCGGCAUGGUUAAGUUUUCUCUUCCUCCCAACAUCUGAACCACUGUUUUCAUGGAUGGACGAUCCAUCGGGUGCCAUUGGAUGCACCAAAGGCCUACAAUGGCUAGUUCUUUUGGAAUUCGACACUCUAAUCCUUCUUCUCCGAUAUGGACUCGAAGGUCCUCCCCUUCUUCUAAAAGAUUAUAUAUCCAUUCUGGGUAGUAAACUUCACUAGCCUGGUCCAUGGUUUCAUCACCAAUAUUCUUUCUCCCUCCUACAAUCUCGAGCAACACCAUUCCAAAACUAUACACGUCUGACUUAUAUGACACAUUUCCAAAAUUCCGGGAGAACACUUCUGGUGCAAUAUAACCCAGAGUCCCCCUGGCUGCAGUCAUUGAAACUAUACUUUGAUCCUUGGCACACAGCUUGGACAUCCCAAAAUCAGAAACUUUUGGGGUGAAGUUUUGAUCUAGCAAGACAUUAUGAGGUUUGAUGUCAAAAUGAAGGAUUCGUUGAUCACAUCCUUGGUGUAGGUACUCAAUUCCUUUGGCAAUGCCUAGAGCAAUAUCUUUCAACUUAUCCCAACCAAGGAAAGAAUUCUUGUUGUCUGCUGAUGAGAUGAAAUCUUGUAGUGAUCCGUUGGGUAAGAACUCAUAUACAAGAGCUCGUCUGAAUCCAUCAGCACAGAAGCCGACCAAGCGAACUACAUUGACAUGGUGGAUAUGACCCAUUGUUCCCACCUCAUUUAGGAAUUCUUCUCCGUCUCCGUAAUUAGUGUUUUUGAGGACUUUAACAGCAACAAACAAUUCAGAUGAAAGCUUCCCUUUGAAAACAGUUCCAUACGCUCCUUCCCCCAAUUUAUCCUCAAAUUGAUUCGUAAUUCUUUUGAUAUCUGCAUAGGAAUAUCUGCUUGGCUUGAGCGCUUUGUGAUCCUCUAGGAAUGUUUCAAUUUUCAAUUGAUUCUGUUUUUCCAUUUUAUCAGAGUGAUACACACCAUAGAUUACACCCACCGAAAUUAAUAGAUAGAUUGUAGUCAGAGUUGCACCUGCAUGCAAAGAAGUCCUUUAGCUUAACAUAUCCUCAAUUUCUUCAAGACAUGAGACAUAGCAAAAUACUGGUUCUAUCUUUUAACUCACCUGUAGCCACUAACUUUGUUGUUGCGCCUGUAAAUGAUAAUUAACAACAUAUCAGACCUCCAUGUUGAAAGAUAAACAUAUCAAGCAGAUAACAACAGUUGAAAUUUGAGUAGCAAAUAUAUGUGACAUAAAAUUCAAGUUAUUAUUACUUACUUGGUUUACUAAAAUCAACACAUUCAAUUUCACUUUCGAUGCCGUUGAACUUCAAAUGACACUUCUUACCCAUCUGUUGACAUUCUGUACAAUUUGGUGUAGACCACCAAAAAUAGGCAUCCAUAGACAGAGGAUACAGAAGUUCAUAUGGAACUGGUAAAUCAUACAUCUUUGUACAGUACUGUGGAGGUUGGUAAUUGCUUGGAAUGGCAUAUAUAUAUUUAUAGCCCAGGCGACUGAGGCAGGGGACUUGUAGUCGUGGUGAAUCAGUAGCUGUGUUUGGGGCGGGACAGUCAAAUAAGCUGACAAAAUUAUCCAUACUAGAUUCUGAGAAGAUGAAAGGAGAGAUAAUUGGUUUCAUGUUUGGGGUUGCUAAUUGCUUCAGGAGAAAGCAACCAUCAUCCGUUAUGUGUACUUGAAUUUUCUGGCGCUUAUAAUCAAUGUGUUUCACAAAGAAUUUUACCACCAUCUGCUGCUGCUGGACAGUAGUUUUGUUGCUCUGCUGACUACAUCCAAGCUCAAAUCCACGACAACGAGGAAGGCGAUUGAACAGGACAUGGAUAGCAAGUCGACGAUCAUCAUGGUCACCACACUCUGAUUCUGUGCAUGCAUUAUGGCACCCUUUGAAGAAAGCUAUUGGCAUCAAUAUGCAGUAGGCUGAGAUGAGGAUUAGUCGCUGCAUUUCCUCCCAAAAUAAGAUGAAUUUUUCAGCAACUAGCCUUCUUACUUUGCAUUGAAUUUUAAAGGAAAUGUUUUAUACCAAAUGAUAUACUAAAAGAAUCAAUGGCAAACAUGAUAAUAAUUUGUUAUUGACCAUGUUCCAGAAGAUGACAAACCUAACCGAAAUAAAAAUAAAUAAAUCAAACAAGGAUGGGAAGGACGAUAUUUCCACAAACAAUAAUCAAAACCAAGUCCAAGUCUACCAUGGCCUUCCUAUAUUGACUAACAGACUGACUGAGAUAUGGCUUAUCUUUGCACAAGAUCACUUAAAAUUGUAUGUAUGCUAAUCUCUCCCUUCUUCCAUGAGAUGAUGGGUAGUCGCUGCAUUUUCUUUCCAAAUAAGAUGAAAUUUUCAGCAGCUAAGCUUGGUACUUUCCACUAAACUCUAAAUUUGCUGUUUUGUACAUCAGAUGCAGAAUCAAUGGCAACCAUAACAGUUUUUUUUUUUUGGUUAAACAUGUUCCAGAAGAAAAGGAAAGGACAAGGAAAGACGAUCAUACAAAUCCUGCACAAAGAAAAAUCCAAAUGAACAACCAAGUCCAAGUACUCGAUCCCACCCAAAUAAGCUGAAACAGUAUUCUUAAUUGCCUGGCCAUCCAGUACUGACUUACCGACGGUUUGGGACGCGUUGCUUACUUAUGCACAUGAUCGAUCAAUCAUAUGUAGAUACCUGGCUAUCUCACUGCAGACUUAAACUUCCGCCCAAACAGAAACAAUCUCUCUGUCUCUCUAGUCUCUAGCUCCCUCCCUCUUUCCUUCUAUGGGGAUAAGUGGAAGGUCAUUCGCUCAAUCUGCGUGGGUUUUAAUGGUAGCCUUUCUUGCUUGUAGCUCUAAGACAUGUAGUCUUAAGUAUUGUACCCCAUCUUCCUGCGGUAAUAUCCCCAAUAUAAGCUACCCUUUUCGACUGAAACAUGACCCAGAGACCUGCGGAAAGGCCGGGUUCACUCUUCUAUGUGAGAACAACAUUACAGUACUAGACUUACCUUCUCUAAAAUACCAUGUACAGGCAAUCAACUACAGUAGCCAAACAAUCCGAGUGGUGGAUCCUGGCUUUCAGGAAAACAAUUGUUCCUCCGUUCCUGUUAAUCCUCCAACAAAAUAUGAUCCUUUUCUUGGUUCAUCACUUUACAAUGUCUAUUAUAGCAGUAUGAAUACUGUCACAGAGCGUAUAUACUUCCUCAAGUGUUCAGAGCGGGUGAAUAUGUAUACUUAUGUAGACACUGCUGCAUGCACUGAUGAUACUGGUACUAGCAGUACUGGUUCUUCUUCUUCUUCUAUGUCCCAACCCAGAACGUUUGGUUAUCUCCUGGUUGAUGACAUAACGUCAGGAGACGUGGUGGAGGGUUGCAGCUUAGAGUGGCAGACAUUCAUAACUAUCGAUGUGAACGACUACAACCACACAGACAUAAAAAGAACGAUGAAUUCAUUGGCGUAUGGCUUUGAGGUUCUAUAUUUGCUUGAAAUGCCUUUUACAUGCGGAGGCCCGUGGAGUAUCAACUACAAAUGUUUUCCGCACACAGUCGCAGGUUCGUUCCAUCGAAAUUAUACCGAUAAAUUCCUUUCUGCAGCUCUAUAUAUAUUACUUACUAUAUAGAGAAUGGUCAGUGAGUUAUGGUCAUGGUCUGAUUGGUUAAAUAUUUUUUUCUCUAAAAGAACAACACAACCCUUUUAGCAAAUCCAUACAGGGGAUCAAAAUAAAAAGAGAAAAUGCCCAUUUAGUACUAAUUUAAACCUUACAUUUCUCAUUCCAAUGAUAAUAUUUUUCAUGAGCUCAUUUCAAUAUAAAGUAAUAUUUUUUAUGCCCAAAUGCACAAAUCUUUACUAAAGUCUUAACAAAUGAUAUUAUUUUAAGACUAUUUUACCCUCAUCCUUUAAACAUGCAUAGAGAGAGAAAAUAGAAGAGAGAGAAUACUUGGUCGGAAUCUCACCAGACUCCGGUCACGGUCGUCGGACUCUGGUCAUUGUCGUCGGACUCCCGUCACCGGCCGCCGGAUUUCCUUAUCGCCGGACUCCGGUCACCGGUGACUUGGUUACUGACCCUCAAUAAUCAGUUAUUGCCCCCCAAUAAUUGGGUUAUUACUCUCAAUAACUUGGUUACUGACCCCCAAUAAUCAGUUACUGACCCCCAAUAAUCGAGUUACUGACCCUAAUAACUUGAUUACUGACCCCCAAUAAUGAGUUAUUGACCCCUAAUAAUGGGGUUACUACCUUCAAUAACUUGGUUACUGACCCACAGUAAUCAGUUACUAGCCCCCAAUAAUCGGGUUACUAACCCCAAUAGCUUGGUAAUCAAUUACUGACCCACAGUAAUCAGUUACUGACCCCUAAUAACUCAACAAUUCACACCAAAACUCAACAUUAAUCAAUUGCAAAACUUCAGGCCAAGCAAUUUACACCAAAACUCAACAAAACUCAGCGUAUGACACAAAGCACAGUACACAAGCAGAGUACACCAUUGAAAUUGUCAAGGUUCUUGAUAUGAGAGAGUGCAGACGUCAGUGGAUGAUGAGUAUACGUGUAUACAUACAUGAAUCUGAUUGCACCUAAAAUAGCCACGUAGUUAACAACAUGCAUAUCAUUGAACUUCGAACUACCUUAGGUACUUCUGCAAUCAACUAACUUCGUUUCUCGAGAACUACCUUGAGAUUCUGACAGAAAAUUCAGAUUAUUCCCUUCGAUUCCCUCCUUUGUAAUCCUUCCUCAUCCUCGAUCUGAUGCUCUGCCCAUUCUUCUUGCAUCAAUUGUUUAAGACUACUAUACUGUAUUUCCCCCUCCGAUUUCACCUGCACCGAAACCAACGAGCCAUCCACUUGGAUUUGAAGACCAAGGAGACCUCUACAACCCAGUCUUUCUCGGACCUUCAACCAUGCAGACGAAGUCGGAGCCAGCGAAGUUGAUGAAGCCUGAGCCGACGAAGUUGAUGAAGCCGGAUCCGAAGAGCAGAGCCUAGUCGUCGGUGGACCAGAUCCAGUGGGAUGGUCGGAUUUGAUCGUUGUGACAAGAACGGAAGGUGAUGGUGGCCAGAUCGGGCGGUGACAAACCGACAUAAGAGAUCUAGCCUCGUCGGCGUCGAGGCCUUGUCAGUCGUCAUUAGUGCUUCUCGUCGCCGGUGCUUCAAAUCGUAAGUGCUUCGCCGGCGAGGGGAUUCGCGGCUGAGAGAGAGAUAGAGAGAGAGAGGAGGGUAGAUUAAAAGAGUGUGGGUAAUAUUGUCUUUUUUGAUCAAAAUAAUUGAAAUGGGCUGUUCAAAUCUGUUUUCAUUGGAAUGGGUUUUAAAAACCUUGUUUUUGUGCAAAUGAGCAUUGUCUCAAAUAAAAAUACUACCAAAAUAGUUCAACCUUUCUCACCCAUGAAAUACUUCUAACGUAGUUUAAUUUACAUCCGUGAGUAUUUAAUGUACAUGAAUCAAACCCCAAUUGGUGUCAUAAUUUCUCAGCAGCAAGGAAAAUUCUAGUAUACCAUAUGGUAUAAUACAUAAUGUGUGGUUAUCAUUGAUUGAAUAAGCAACUAAAUGACCAUUUACCCCUUCAAAAGCUCACAUGUGUCAUACUAUUAGACAUAUUUGUAAUAGGUAUAUCAUACCAUAUGGUAUGGGAGACAAACCACAACAGCAGAAGCAAGAGCAUUUCCAAACAUCAAAGCAAUAUAAAAGCUCAAAUAAAAAUAACAGAAAUAAAAAGCCCAAAUAAGAGAGGUACGGUCCAGAUCCUAGCCCAACAAGAGAGCCCCAACGACCCAAGGCCCGAAUCCAAAAACCGAGCCCAACCUGAGAUUAAGGCCCACACCCAAUCACUGAGGACACCCAGAGAAUUAGGUCUCCCCACCUCCAAUUUACCCAAAGAAUUAUUUCCAACUUUCGAUCCCUUUAGUUCUAAAUCCUUAUGCACACGCACGAGUCCUGAAUCCCGAUACAAAACGCGUUAACAACCUUUAUGAAACGACAUCUAGACCCUGACGAUUAUUGAACGGUCUUACUAACCUUCUGCUAGUUUGACCAAGAAUUGACCAUGUUGACCGAGUUAAUUAAGUUGACUAGCCAUUGUAAAACUCAAUUCUCGUCCACUUAUGACCACUUAAUGUUUGAUCACAAAUAGGUCGAACAGAUUUAUAACAUCGACUCUUAACUCUUAUUCGGCGUACCUUAAUUUACUAAGGACACCCAAGAUUAUAACGAUACACACUUUAACAACUUGCGACAAAUCGACUAUUUAGUUUGUAACUCUCAAUCCGGGUGUGGAAUUGGAUUACAAAAUUCUAUUAGGUUCUAUACUUCUUUCAAAAAUAGUUUAGUCGAAUCUCUAGACUAAACCAAAACCCGACUUAGUCUUUAAAUUAAAAACUUGAUAAGAUUCAAAAUAAAGAUUUUGAGUUCUAGACAUCUUAAACAAGAUCGGCCAAGCCUUCCAUCAUUUCUAUGCAGGCCCGAACCUGAGUGUACGUAGUCUGAGGAGCCCAUCAACUCAGGGCCCAGAAAAUAAAAGGGCCCAGUUUUGUUUUUUAUAGCUUUUUAUUGGGUGUAAUUGUUGGUGACAUAUUAAUUAAGGUUUCUUAAUUGAUAAAUUAGAGGUGAUUAAAGAUAAUUAAAUGUUAUUCGUUUUUAGAUUUUGAGUUGAUAGCGUUACUUCAUUGUAAAUUUCAUACAAAAAGAAGAAAAAAAAUAAAUUUAUACAACAUUUAAAGGGCCCAACUUUAAGAGUUCAACUCUGGUCUGAAAAUCUCAGGUCCGAGCUUGUUUCUAUGGCCUCAAACUCAGCCUCCCUAAACCGUAUCUCCCUCUCGCGUGUUUGGGCCAAAAGGCCUAAACCCUCUUACUUCUAUUCUACGGACCAAAAGUCUAGAUCAAAAGGGGAAGGAACAUAUUAUUUUUGGAAAACUAAUUUCUAAUAUCUCGAAACGAAAAUCAUAAAAACUCAACCGUGUGUUCGAAAAAUAAUCAAAUUGCAUCUCCAAACUCGUAGCGACGUACACUUUAAUUUUGGUACUUGGAUCUAAUUUGGGACCUUGGAUCAUGGACUUGACCCAUUUUUUUUAAAAGAAUUUCGAGUAACUUCUAGUGUGACGUUUACUUUUCGACAAAAACAGGAAAAUAAAUUAUGUGACACACUACUCUUCUAGAGUGUAGGUAAAUGUAGUCAAUGACUAAGUAAAGUAGAAUGAGGUUUCACAACAUCAACCCCGUGGUCUCCACCAAGCCCUUGUCGCAGUCGCAGCCACCAUGAUUGAAAAUGCCAAAAUCCCUACAAAUUUUAUGGCACUUCAUAUCGGAUGUCCAACUCUACAGUUACCUCUAGCGAAAAUGAGAAAUACAGGAUCCAUUUUCCGACAUUGUGGCGAACUCAGAUCCUUUGCACAAUCUCUUUCUUCUCUCUAUCGCACCUUAGCGCAUACCCAUCAAAACUGCUACUUUUUUUGGCUCUUCAAGCCUUGGACGCUUUGAGGCACGCGUCACACUGCUAUUGGUUGAUCACCUACUCUUUUUGUACCUUAUUUUGAUAUGUUGUGGUUGUAAUAAUAAUAAUAAUAAUAAUAAUAAUAAUAAUAAUAAUAAUAAUAAUAAUAAUAAUAAUAAUAAUAAUAAUAAUAAUAAUAAUAAUAAUAAUAAUAAUAAUAUGUUUUGUUAGUUUGCCAAAAAGACAAAACAAAACAGGGAGUUGAUACGUAUUCUAACGAAUAGAUCACACUUAAUUCAGCAAUUUGUACUUUAGCAUUUUGUGAUUAAUCUGACUUUUCUAAUUUCCUUGUUUACCAUAUUGUAGGUGCCUUUCGACUACUAUGGGAAGCUUUUCUCAGUAAGAGUCUCUUUCAAAUCCCUAUUCUUUUAGUUAGAAUUUUGUUACCACUAAAACCCUCAUAUCUCUAAUAAAAAUCAACUACGAUAAAGCCUUUAAAAGGUGCACCAAAAUGUGUAUCACACACAAUCCCCUUCAUAAUUAAAGUAAUUACUUUUUUUUUUGUAAAUGUCAACUGCGACUUGUAUAUAUUGAUUUUUCGCAAAACGAAGAAACAACUAUUACAUACUCUAUAACCACCAUCUACUGAUAGACAAGUAGUUGUGAACCGAGACUCACACUAGUACAUAUAAUACACUACUCAUUAAUCGUUUUCACGCAUAGAGUCCAUAGUGUCCCAAACACGUGCGAUAGUGUCCUAAAGGAACAAACAGGAAAUCGAAAUCUAAUCUAAAAAUUCCUAUAACAUAGAGAAAUAGCUAAAAGAAAAUAAAUUAAACUAAAUUGGGCUAGAGCCCACAAGCCAACCCAACAAAACAGGCCAAUUCAACCCCACCAUUGCGUGAAGAAGAAAGGCCGGAGUCCCGAUCUGUCCACAGCGAUGCCGACAUGAACGAGAAGCACCACCUGAUCUAAAGCUGCACCUUACCUCUUUGCCUCCAUUGAGCUACGCCUCACCUCUUUGCCUCAAUUGCCAAGAUAGAAUCAAAGCACCACCGUCACCCAGCACAGAGCAGCGAAACAAGGAAAGAUGAAACCAUUGUUGCCGUCAGCCUUCCAGCAGCGUCAACUCGAGAGCCCAGCCAUAGAAACCAAUCUCCCGUCCGGCAACGAUCGCAAGACAGCAAGGCGAUUAAAAUCAACCUUGUUGCCGACCAGUACGCCGCCGAAUGAGCACAAGGAAUGGAAGUGCCACAGCUGGAGAGAGAGAGAGAGAGAGAGAGAGAGAGAGAGAGAGAGAGAGUAGUAGUAGUAGAGAGAGAGAGAGUGAGUUAGGGUUAUAUAAUAAAAUUAAUUACUUCAAACACAUGAAAUGAUGUAAAAAGUCACUUCAAAUAGUUAUAUAUAUCAAAACUAAUAAAAUGUGGUUGGUGAUGAAGAAACUUUCACGUGCCGAUCAACGAGGGAAUGAGAAAUUUUUAAUUUUCGUCUACAUGAGUUAAGCUUUGCACCCCGAGUGGAUUACAAAAUAAGGAGGUUUUUCUAUUGAGGACUAGUUAAUGAUUUUUCGGUUUAUGAUUUGAAAGAUUUAUUUUUUUAUCACAUUUUGACAUCUCAUCAGUUCAAUUUUUUUGUCUAUAUGAGUAGAUCAUUUCUACAAAUUUUCAACCAAAUUGGUGAUCAUUAAAAUAACAAACUAAAUCAAAUUAAUGGACAAACCAAAUCUGUCAAACAUGAACCGUUCAAGUUCAUAUAUUGGUAAAUCAUACUUAUAAAUGUCUUAACGAUUUUUAGUGUGGCUGAAAAUUUACAUAAAUGAUCUACUCAUAAAUAUCUAUAAACUGAACGGUCAAGAUGUGGAUAUAAGAUUGAAAAGUGAGAUAAGCUGAAAAGUCCUCAACUAGUCAUUAACUUAAGGGCUCCCUUACAAAAUAUACAAAUAGAUUCUUAAUUAUCUUUGUGUGAUAUAGUCUUUUAAUAUUUCAAAUGUUU